UCCAGCGGUUGUCAGCUGUACAGGCCUGUACCGUUCCUGUGCUAGUGUUACUCUGCUGGGAAAGAGAGGCUCUGCCGAUUGUGCUCAGUUCAGGAGUUGCUGUUUUAGUAGCUUCUCGAUGCUUAGCUGUGGCAGAGCCUUGCCCCUCUGAGAGUGGGCUGUCCCCUCACCAGUGGGGGCAGCCCUAGUCUGUGGGUAAACAUG
Pygocentrus nattereri (red-bellied piranha) is the source of this 204-nucleotide small nucleolar RNA. Its record names the gene SNORA74. It matches the Rfam family "Small nucleolar RNA SNORA74". Rfam says of the family: U19 belongs to the H/ACA class of snoRNAs. snoRNAs bind a number of proteins (including dyskerin, Gar1p and Nop10p in the case of the H/ACA class) to form snoRNP complexes. This class are thought to guide the sites of modification of uridines to pseudouridines by forming direct base pairing interactions with substrate RNAs. Lineage: Eukaryota; Metazoa; Chordata; Actinopteri; Characiformes; Serrasalmidae. The record is from Ensembl.